GACGAACGCUGGCGGCGUGCUUAACACAUGCAAGUCGAACGGAAAGGCCCUGCUUUUGUGGGGUGCUCGAGUGGCGAACGGGUGAGUAACACGUGAGUAACCUGCCCUUGACUUUGGGAUAACUUCAGGAAACUGGGGCUAAUACCGGAUAGGAGCUCCUGCUGCAUGGUGGGGGUUGGAAAGUUUCGGCGGUUGGGGAUGGACUCGCGGCUUAUCAGCUUGUUGGGGGGGUAGUGGCUUACCAAGGCUUUGACGGGUAGCCGGCCUGAGAGGGUGACCGGCCACAUUGGGACUGAGAUACGGCCCAGACUCCUACGGGAGGCAGCAGUGGGGAAUAUUGCACAAUGGGCGGAAGCCUGAUGCAGCAACGCCGCGUGCGGGAUGACGGCCUUCGGGUUGUAAACCGCUUUCGCCUGUGACGAGGCGUGAGUGACGGUAAUGGGUAAAGAAGCACCGGCUAACUACGUG
RNAcentral lists this ribosomal RNA (468 nucleotides) under uncultured bacterium. Its description in RNAcentral is "partial 16S ribosomal RNA". It matches the Rfam family "Bacterial small subunit ribosomal RNA", at positions 28 to 507 of the family's 1533-position model. The record is from RNAcentral.